Molecule: long non-coding RNA, 551 nt
Organism: Elaeis guineensis (African oil palm)
Lineage: Eukaryota; Viridiplantae; Streptophyta; Magnoliopsida; Arecales; Arecaceae
Source: RefSeq, a predicted model, not a curated record
GCCGAGUUCGGGAGGGCGAUCAAGCGAGGGUAUCUUUGAGGCUCUGGAAUCUGGAAUGGAUCUGGCUGUUCAUGCCCGAGUUGGAUUUGGGUAUUCUUAGAAGCAGAGAUGUCUGCAUGAUGAGUUGAAACCUUGCAACCGGUGCUUGGUAAACAUUGGUAAGGAUUGAGGAAGACCAAAGCUGGCGGUGAUGUGCGUAUCUAGUUUUACUUGAUCAGUGACUCGGUGCUAGCCUAAUCUAAUUGGGCCAUUCCCCCAAAAGGAAGAAGAUAUAGAGCUUUUCUGGGUACAUGUUCUUUGUCAUAUCACUAAGUGCACAAACUAUUUAUUUUAUGGCUUCGAAUUCAAACUUGAAAAGUUUCAACCAUGAAUUUAAAUUGCCUGAUGCGCCAGAGGAACUAUUCGCAGGACUAAACAGCAUCCUGUAGUAUUGUCCUUCAAAGUGAGUGUCCAUUUGUUUGUUUUUGUAGUGUUCUUAGUUGUUGCUGUGCUGGGGUUGGGUCCAUGUUUAGUUUGUUAUAAUUGAAAAGCUCCACUUGAUUUGAUCUCUA